UACGAAGGGGGCUAGCGUUGUUCGGAAUCACUGGGCGUAAAGGGCGCGUAGGCGGCGCGACAAGUCAGGCGUGAAAGCCCCGGGCUCAACCCGGGAAUUGCGCUUGAUACUGUCGUGCUUGAGGCCGGGAGAGGAUGGCGGAAUUCCCAGUGUAGAGGUGAAAUUCGUAGAUAUUGGGAAGAACACCGGUGGCGAAGGCGGGUCUCUGGGCCGAUACUGACGCUGAGGAGCGAAAGCGUGGGAGCGAACAGG
RNAcentral lists this ribosomal RNA (252 nucleotides) under uncultured bacterium. RNAcentral's name for it is "partial 16S ribosomal RNA". It matches the Rfam family "Bacterial small subunit ribosomal RNA", at positions 524 to 776 of the family's 1533-position model. The record is from RNAcentral.